GAUGAACGCUAGCGGCAGGCUUAAUACAUGCAAGUCGAGGGGCAGCACGGGUAGCAAUACCUGGUGGCGACCGGCAAACGGGUGCGGAACACGUACGCAACCUUCCCAUAACUGGUGAAUAGCCCUCCGAAAGGAGGAUUAAUACACCGUAACUUAACGAAGUGGCAUCACUUUGUUAAUAUAGGCUUCGGCCGGUUUUGGAUGGGCGUGCGCCUGAUUAGGUAGUUGGCGGGGUAACGGCCCACCAAGCCUGCGAUCAGUAACUGGUGUGAGAGCACGACCAGUCACACGGGCACUGAGACACGGGCCCGACUCCUACGGGAGGCAGCAGUAAGGAAUAUUGGUCAAUGGACGAAAGUCUGAACCAGCCAUGCCGCGUGAAGGAUUAAGGCCCUCUGGGUUGUAAACUUCUUUUAUCUGGGACGAAAAAAGGGUAUUCUUACUCACUUGACGGUACCAGAGGAAUAAGCACCGGCUAACUCCGUGCCAGCAGCCGCGGUAAAGU
This 505-nucleotide ribosomal RNA is filed under the name uncultured bacterium. RNAcentral describes it as "bacterial SSU rRNA". It matches the Rfam family "Bacterial small subunit ribosomal RNA", at positions 28 to 526 of the family's 1533-position model. The record is from RNAcentral.